UACGUAGGGGUGCGAGCGUUGUCCGGAAUUACUGGGCGUAAAGAGCUCGUAGGUGGUUUGUCGCGUUGUCCGUGAAAACUCACAGCUUAACUGUGGGCGUGCGGGCGAUACGGGCAGACUGGAGUACUGCAGGGGAGACUGGAAGUUCCUGGUGUAGCGGUGGAAUGCGCAGAUAUCAGGAGGAACACCGGUGGCGAAGGCGGGGUCUCUGGACAGUUCCUGACACUGAGACACGAAGGCCAGGGGAGCAAACAGG
Molecule: ribosomal RNA, 256 nt
Filed under: uncultured bacterium
Lineage: Bacteria
Description: partial 16S ribosomal RNA
Rfam family: Bacterial small subunit ribosomal RNA
Source: RNAcentral